UGAGAGAAGAUAUAGCCAAGGUAGCCA
Molecule: non-coding RNA, 27 nt
Filed under: Homo sapiens (human)
Lineage: Eukaryota; Metazoa; Chordata; Mammalia; Primates; Hominidae
Source: RNAcentral